AUUGAACGCUGGCGGCAGGCCUAACACAUGCAAGUCGAACGAGUGGCGGACGGGUGAGUAAUGUCUGGGAAACUGCCCGAUGGAGGGGGAUAACUACUGGAAACGGUAGCUAAUACCGCAUACCAUCGGAUGUGCCCAGGUGGGAUUAGCUAGUAGGUGGGGUAACGGCUCACAUAGGCGACGAUCCCUAGCUGGUCUGAGAGGAUGACCGGCCACACUGGAACUGAGACACGGUCCAGACUCCUACGGGAGGCAGCAGUGGGGAAUAUUGCGCAAUGGGCGAAAGCCUGAUGCAGCAAUGCCGCGUGUAUGAAGAAGGCCUUCGGGUUGUAAAGUACUUUCAGCGGGGAGGCGGUACUCGCAGAAGAAGCACCGGCUAACUCCGUGCCAGCAGCCGCGGUAAUAC
Molecule: ribosomal RNA, 406 nt
Filed under: uncultured bacterium
Lineage: Bacteria
Description: partial 16S ribosomal RNA
Rfam family: Bacterial small subunit ribosomal RNA
Source: RNAcentral